GGGGGCUUCAUGGCAGUCGAGGGGCAUCGGGAGGGAAGCUUGCUUUCCUUGCCGGCGACCGGCGCACGGGUGAGUCCACGUAUGCAACCUGCCCUCUUCAGGGGGACAACCUUCCGAAAGGGAGGCUAAUCCCGCGUAUAUCGGUUUCGGGCAUCCGAGAUCGAGGAAAGAUUCAUCGGAAGAGGAUGGGCAUGCGGCGCAUUAGCUUGACGGCGGGGUAACGGCCCACCGUGGCGACGAUGCGUAGGGGUUCUGAGAGGAAGGUCCCCCACACUGGUACUGAGACACGGACCAGACUCCUACGGGAGGCAGCAGUGAGGAAUAUUGGUCAAUGGGAGAGAUCCUGAACCAGCCAAGCCGCGUGAGGGAAGACGGCCCUAUGGGUUGUAAACCUCUUUUGUCGGAGAACAAAACCCGGGACGUGUCCCGGACUGCGUGUAUCCGAAGAAAAAGCAUCGGCUAACUCCGUGCCAGCAGCCGCGGUAAUACGGAGGAUGCGAGCGUUAUCCGGAUUUAUUGGGUUUAAAGGGUGCGUAGGCGGUCCGUUAAGUCAGCGGUAAAAUUGCGGGGCUCAACCCCGUCGAGCCGUUGAAACUGGCAGACUUGAGUUGGCGAGAAGUACGCGGAAUGCGCGGUGUAGCGGUGAAAUGCAUAGAUAUCGCGCAGAACUCCGAUUGCGAAGGCAGCGUACCGGCGCCAGACUGACGCUGAGGCACGAAAGCGUGGGGAUCGAACAGGAUUAGAUACCCU
This 750-nucleotide ribosomal RNA is filed under the name uncultured bacterium. Its description in RNAcentral is "bacterial SSU rRNA". It matches the Rfam family "Bacterial small subunit ribosomal RNA", at positions 42 to 788 of the family's 1533-position model. The record is from RNAcentral.